This 1985-nucleotide long non-coding RNA is filed under the name Salmo salar (Atlantic salmon). Its description in RNAcentral is "lncRNA (ENSSSAG00000091273.1)". The record is from RNAcentral. Lineage: Eukaryota; Metazoa; Chordata; Actinopteri; Salmoniformes; Salmonidae.
AGGGAGGAGAGGGGGGAGAAAAGGAGGGAUGGAGGAGAAAGGAGGAGAGGGGGAGAAAAUGAGGGAUGGAGGAGAAAGGAGGAGAGGGGGAGAAAAUGAGGGAUGGAGGAGAAGGGAGGAGAGGGGGAGAAAAGGAGGGAUGGAGGAGAAAGGAGGAGAGGGGGAGAAAAUGAGGGAUGGAGGAGAAGGGAGGAGAGGGGGAGAAAAGGAGGGAUGGAGGAGAAGGGAGGAGAGGGGGAGAAAGGAGGAGAGGGGGAGAAAGGAGGGAUGGAGGAGAAGGGAGGAGAGGGGGAGAAAGGAGGGAUGGAGGAGAAGGGAGGAGAGGGGGAGAAAAGGAGGGAUGGAGGAGAAGGGAGGAGAGGGGGAGAAAAGGAGGGAUGGAGGAGAAGGGAGGAGAGCCAGAUUUUGCAGGGCAGAUUCUAACAACAGAGAGAUAAGCUCCGUCUCAAUGCCCCUUACAACUAGGAAUCUCUACUACUUUACUCUUUUAAAACUAUCUUCGCAAUAUUUGUAUUUAUUUUGUACAUAAUUUCUCAUGUAAACAUUACAUUCAUGCAACAGCCGCUUUAUAAUAAAGUUCCUAUACUUGAUAUAUUUUGUUUUUUAAAAUGAACAAAAAAGAGAUAAAGGAAAAGACAGUUAAAGGAGGAUGGUAUGAUGAGCCCUAAGGACAGGAAGUGAGGAUGGUAUGAUGAGCCCUAAGGACAGGAAGUGAGGAUGGUAUGAUGAGCCCUAAGGACAGGAAGUGAGGAUGGUAUGAUGAGCCCUAAGGACAGGAAGUGAGGAUGGUAUGAUGACCCCCAAGGACAGGAAGUGAGGAUGGUAUGAUGACCCCCAAGGACAGGAAGUGAGGAUGGUAUGAUGAGCCCUAAGGACAGGAAGUGAGGAUGGUAUGAUGAGCCCUAAGGACAGGAAGUGAGGAUGGUAUGAUGAGCCCUAAGGACAGGAAGUGAGGAUGGUAUGAUGACCCCCUAAGGACAGGAAGUGAGGAUGGUAUGAUGACCCCCAAGGACAGGAAGUGAGGAUGGUAUGAUGACCCCCAAGGACAGGAAGUGAGGAUGGUAUGAUGAGCCCUAAGGACAGGAAGUGAGGAUGGUAUGAUGACCCCUAAGGACAGGAAGUGAGGAUGGUAUGAUGACCCCUAAGGACAGGAAGUGAGGAUGGUAUGAUGACCCCUAAGGACAGGAAGUGAGGAUGGUAUGAUGACCCCCAAGGACAGGAAGUGAGGAUGGUAUGAUGACCCCUAAGGACAGGAAGUGAGGAUGGUAUGAUGAGCCCUAAGGACAGGAAGUGAGGAUGGUAUGAUGACCCCCAAGGACAGGAAGUGAGGAUGUUAUGAUGACCCCCAAGGACAGGAAGUGAGGAUGGUAUGAUGACCCCCAAGGACAGGAAGUGAGGAUGGUAUGAUGAGCCCUAUGGACAGGAAGUGAGGAUGGUAUGAUGACCCCCAAGGACAGGAAGUGAGGAUGGUAUGAUGACCCCUAAGGACAGGAAGUGAGGAUGGUAUGAUGACCCCCAAGGACAGGAAGUGAGGAUGGUAUAAUGACCCCUAAGGACAGGAAGUGAGGAUGGUAUGAUGAGCCCUAAGGACAGGAAGUGAGGAUGGUAUGAUGAGCCCUAAGGACAGGAAGUGAGGAUGGUAUGAUGACCCCUAAGGACAGGAAGUGAGGAUGGUAUGAUGACCCCUAAGGACAGGAAGUGAGGAUGGUAUGAUGACCCCUAAGGACAGGAAGUGAGGAUGGUAUGAUGACUCCUAAGGACAGGAAGUGAGGGAUGAAAAAGAGGACAGGGUUCCCUGAUGUAUGUAGGUGUGUGUGAUCCCAACUCCAAAGUGUGUGUGUGUGUGUGUGUGUGUGUGUGUGUGUGUGUGUGUGUGUGUGUGUGUGUGUGUGUGUGUGUGUGUGUGUGUGUGUGUGUGUGUGUGUGUGUGUGUGUGAGUGAGUGAGUGAGUGUUGUGAGUGUUGUGUGUGUGUGUGUGUGUGUGU